This is a long non-coding RNA of Sphaeramia orbicularis (orbiculate cardinalfish), 139 nucleotides long. RefSeq lists it as uncharacterized. The record is from RefSeq and is a predicted model, not a curated record. The transcript has 3 exons. Lineage: Eukaryota; Metazoa; Chordata; Actinopteri; Kurtiformes; Apogonidae.
AUUCAACUUUCUGGUUGUUAAAAGGAAGUUCUUCCUCACCACAGUCACCCGUCACAAGUGUUUGCUCCUGGAGGAUUCUGUUGGGUUUCUGUAAAUUGGCUUGAGAGUCUGGUUUUGACUCUGUAUAAGAAAAUUGUCA